Molecule: non-coding RNA, 1423 nt
Organism: Cyanistes caeruleus (blue tit)
Lineage: Eukaryota; Metazoa; Chordata; Aves; Passeriformes; Paridae
Source: RefSeq, a predicted model, not a curated record
ACCGGCUCCAGCCUCGGCGCGCCGCUGGGGGAGGCAGGCGAAGCCGGCGGGACUCCCUCCGUCGGCUCUCGGGGUUUGGCAGAACUAAAUUGACACAACUUGAAUACACACAGUAUUUUAUAGAAAUCCGGCUACAGAAAGGGCUGACUUUCCCGAACCCACGACCAAUGUAAAAAAGACGCUCAGAAGGAGGAGAACAUCCUCAAACUACUCCGUUGUCAUCGUCAUCAUCAUCAUGUCCGUUUGAUUUAAAAACAGCACGAUAGGGAGAACGCUCUCACUGAACGCUGUCUCCUCAGCUUGCUUUUUUUCCUCCCAGCCACUCGGCUUUGUACCCCCAGAUUUGCCGCUUUGAGUUGCUCGACACAAGCAGCGUUUUGCGUGUCUCCAGCGAGAGGGGGAACGCGGGGUGAACAGAGGGCUGCGAGAGGGAACUCGGGGGCUACGGGGCUCAACUUCGGGAAGGAAUGAAGUAAAAAGAAGAGCGAGAGAAUGAGAGAGUCUCCCAGGCAGCUCGAUCCCAUUAGCUCCGUCCUUGGGUUGCAUAUUUAUACGGUCUAGGAGGUGAACAGAUGGACUAUCAAUUUAAUUCCAUCUUCAACACCAUCAGAGAUUGAUUUUCUACUCGCUUUUAAUUUUGCCAUAAUUAAUUAGAUCAUUACAACUGUUUUCUAUUGAUCUCCCUAUUUAAACCUCAGAUGCAAAGGGACUUCGGCAGAUCCUUUAAAAACACAGAAGGGAAAAGGAACAGAGGGGUUUGCAAACUUUUUAAAGGGUUUUUUUUUUUCAGUUUUGACUUAGAAGAUUUUCGGUGCAGAAUAGCAAAAAACUGCCUCCGUGGCCUUUUAUUUUAGGAGGCCUUUUUCGUUGCCUUUGUAAUUUUCUUUUACGAUUUGGUGAAUCUUUGUCUUAUUUAUAUAUAAUAUACAAGAUAUAUAAUAGAUUUAAUCGGUUCGAUUAUGAAAACAUAAGCUUGCACGUGUAUAUGCAUAUAUAUAUAUUCACACACAACGUGUUUAAUAUUGAGAUUUACAGAGCCGGUGCGCACACAUUUAUAUAUGAGGAAACUAUCGACAGAAGAGAUGUGGUUUUCUGAAGGGCGAAUAUUUUUAUUUGCCUCCCGUACGUGUCUCUCUGUUUGUGCACUUGAAUCCCUCUCUAGCUGGGGGAUAUUUCACCCUGCGACUCCAUCAGAAAUGACAAAGGAAAACCAGCGCUGUUAGCUCCGGUUCCUAGCUCGGUUCCCAGCGCCCGCCGCAGCCUUUUCUUUUCCAAGCCUCCCCUGCAGCAAACGACUGACAGCCGGGGCAACAGCACGGCUCUGUGCUGGCAGUCGGUGAGGUUUGUAUUUUAAACCUCUGUAUCCUUCCCCCCCACCACCAAAAAAAAAUCCCUAAAUUAAAAGCUCUGUUUAUAUACUUAA